This is a long non-coding RNA of Zea mays, 767 nucleotides long. RefSeq lists it as uncharacterized. The transcript has 2 exons. The record is from RefSeq and is a predicted model, not a curated record. Lineage: Eukaryota; Viridiplantae; Streptophyta; Magnoliopsida; Poales; Poaceae.
UCGACGUUGCUACGAGAUCAGAUCUGCAUCAACUCUCCGUCACACCGGCAGGUCCCCGGCCUUGCCGAACUGUCCUACGCGACAGGCUUCGUUCCCGUUUGUCGAACCAGAAAUCACGAUCUAAUGUUGGUAGAAUCUCGUAAUCGCUCCACCAUGUCCGAUGGGGCUCCACUCGAUCUCGCCCGUGCACCUGAGUUCGUGCCCGCCUUGGAGUCACGAGAAUCCUGCGCAUCCUAUGGUUCUAGAGUGCGAGGUGAAUGGGGGCGGCUCAUGUGGUCAAAGUCGUGAUCCAUUCAUGUCGUGGGUGUGUACGUGCGUACAAGCCUGAGAAAGCUGAGGUAGUUAGGAUUUUUGUUAUGAAAAAAAACUUGCAUGCCCACAUGCACGUGACAUGCGCUAUCUGGGCUGGUCGCCUCCCACUUCAUACCAGUUCUUUGACCAAGUCGUAACCGCUUAUUCCUCUGGCGUUGGAAAACUACGGCUCCUGGUUUUUUUGUUUUUUUUUUGGCGCAUGCGAGAAUCCACUCGCGGUAGACACCCGUGAAUGAUGCCACAAGUCAGCAUGUGCAAGUCUGUUGUGGCCACACUCGCCUUCCACACCUAGUGGCGCAUGAGUGCAUACGGCUAGAAAAAGAUUACCAUUUUACCUACUAAUUCUCGUUGAAUUAAGUAGAUCUAAUUUUAAUUUACACGCAUCCUCCAUAUGAUUUAUUCUAUUUAUUUUAUGUUGCAAAUAAUAAAUAGAAUGAAGCAUGUUUUAUGUUGCA